AUUGAACGCUGGCGGCAGGCUUAACACAUGCAAGUCGAACGAGUGGCGGACGGGUGAGUAAUGCUUGGGAAUCUGGCUUAUGGAGGGGGAUAACUACGGGAAACUGUAGCUAAUACCGCAUACCAUAGGAUGAGCCCAAGUGGGAUUAGGUAGUUGGUGAGGUAAAGGCUCACCAAGGCGACGAUCCCUAGCUGGUCUGAGAGGAUGACCAGCCACACUGGGACUGAGACACGGCCCAGACUCCUACGGGAGGCAGCAGUGGGGAAUAUUGGGCAAUGGGGGCAACCUGACGCAGCCAUGCCGCGUGUAUGAAGAAGGCCUUCGGGUUGUAAAGUUCUUUCGGUAGAGAGGCGUUAUCUACAGAAGAAGCACCGGCUAACUACGUGCCAGCAGCCGCGGUAAUUC
Molecule: ribosomal RNA, 405 nt
Filed under: uncultured bacterium
Lineage: Bacteria
Description: partial 16S ribosomal RNA
Rfam family: Bacterial small subunit ribosomal RNA
Source: RNAcentral